Molecule: ribosomal RNA, 496 nt
Filed under: uncultured bacterium
Lineage: Bacteria
Description: partial 16S ribosomal RNA
Rfam family: Bacterial small subunit ribosomal RNA
Source: RNAcentral
GAUGAACGCUGGCGGCGUGCCUAAUACAUGCAAGUCGAGCGAACAGACGAUGCUCUUGCUCCUCUGACGUUAGCGGCGGACGGGUGAGUAACACGUGUAUAACCUCCCUAUAUUACUGGGAUAACUUCGGGAAACCGGCGCUAAUACCGUAUAAUAUAUUGAUCCGCAUGGUUCAAUAGUGAAAGACGGUUUUUCUGUCUCUUAUCGCUGGAUCCGCGCCUCAUUAUCUAGUUGGUAAUGUAACAGCUUACCAAGGGAACGAUGCGUAGCCGAACUGAGAGGGGGAUGGGCGACAGAGAAGCUGAGACGCGGCACAGAAGCCGACGGGAGGCAGAAGUAGGGAAGAUACCGAAAAGGGCGAAAGACUGACGGAGGAACGCCGCGUGAGUGAUGAAGGUCUGCGGAUCGUAAAACGGUGUUAGUAGGGAAGAACAAAUGUGUAAGUAACUAUGCACGUCUUGACGGUACGGAAAAAGAAAGACACGGAUAACUACGU